AGUGAACGCUGGCGGUAGGCCUAACACAUGCGAGUCGAACGGCAGCACAGUAAGAGCUUGCUCUUACGGGUGGCGAGUGGCGGACGGGUGAGGAAUACAUCGGAAUCUACUUUUUCGUGGGGGAUAACGUAGGGAAACUUACGCUAAUACCGCAUACGACCUACGGGUGAAAGCAGGGGAUCUUCGGACCUUGCGCGAUUGAAUGAGCCGAUGUCGGAUUAGCUAGUUGUCGGGGUAAAGGCCCACCAAGGCGACGAUCCGUAGCUGGUCUGAGAGGAUGAUCAGCCACACUGGAACUGAGACACGGUCCAGACUCCUACGGGAGGCAGCAGUGGGGAAUAUUGGACAAUGGGCGCAAGCCUGAUCCAGCCAUACCGCGUGGGUGAAGAAGGCCUUCGGGUUGUAAAGCCCUUUUGUUGGGAAAGAAAAGCAGCAGGUUAAUACCCCGCUGUUCUGACGGUACCCAAAGAAUAAGCACCGGCUAACUUCGUG
This 492-nucleotide ribosomal RNA is filed under the name uncultured bacterium. Its description in RNAcentral is "partial 16S ribosomal RNA". It matches the Rfam family "Bacterial small subunit ribosomal RNA", at positions 29 to 507 of the family's 1533-position model. The record is from RNAcentral.